Molecule: ribosomal RNA, 642 nt
Filed under: Mycobacterium tuberculosis
Lineage: Bacteria; Bacillati; Actinomycetota; Actinomycetes; Mycobacteriales; Mycobacteriaceae
Description: bacterial SSU rRNA
Rfam family: Bacterial small subunit ribosomal RNA
Source: RNAcentral
ACGGGUAGCCGGCCUGAGAGGGUGUCCGGCCACACUGGGACUGAGAUACGGCCCAGACUCCUACGGGAGGCAGCAGUGGGGAAUAUUGCACAAUGGGCGCAAGCCUGAUGCAGCGACGCCGCGUGGGGGAUGACGGCCUUCGGGUUGUAAACCUCUUUCACCAUCGACGAAGGUCCGGGUUCUCUCGGAUUGACGGUAGGUGGAGAAGAAGCACCGGCCAACUACGUGCCAGCAGCCGCGGUAAUACGUAGGGUGCGAGCGUUGUCCGGAAUUACUGGGCGUAAAGAGCUCGUAGGUGGUUUGUCGCGUUGUUCGUGAAAUCUCACGGCUUAACUGUGAGCGUGCGGGCGAUACGGGCAGACUAGAGUACUGCAGGGGAGACUGGAAUUCCUGGUGUAGCGGUGGAAUGCGCAGAUAUCAGGAGGAACACCGGUGGCGAAGGCGGGUCUCUGGGCAGUAACUGACGCUGAGGAGCGAAAGCGUGGGGAGCGAACAGGAUUAGAUACCCUGGUAGUCCACGCCGUAAACGGUGGGUACUAGGUGUGGGUUUCCUUCCUUGGGAUCCGUGCCGUAGCUAACGCAUUAAGUACCCCGCCUGGGGAGUACGGCCGCAAGGCUAAAACUCAAAGGAAUUGACGGGGG